AGUGAACGCUGGCGGUAGGCCUAACACAUGCAAGUCGAACGGCAGCACAGUAAGAGCUUGCUCUUACGGGUGGCGAGUGGCGGACGGGUGAGGGAUACAUCGGAAUCUACUUUUUCGUGGGGGAUAACGUAGGGAAACUUACGCUAAUACCGCAUACGACCUACGGGUGAAAGCAGGGGAUCUUCGGACCUUGCGCGAUUGAAUGAGCCGAUGUCGGAUUAGCUAGUUGGCGGGGUAAAGGCCCACCAAGGCGACGAUCCGUAGCUGGUCUGAGAGGAUGAUCAGCCACACUGGAACUGAGACACGGUCCAGACUCCUACGGGAGGCAGCAGUGGGGAAUAUUGGACAAUGGGCGCAAGCCUGAUCCAGCCAUACCGCGUGGGCGAAGAAGGCCUUCGGGUUGUAAAGCCCUUUUGUUGGGAAAGAAAAGCAGCAGGUUAAUACCCCGCUGUUCUGACGGUACCCAAAGAAUAAGCACCGGCUAACUUCGUG
This 492-nucleotide ribosomal RNA is filed under the name uncultured bacterium. RNAcentral describes it as "partial 16S ribosomal RNA". It matches the Rfam family "Bacterial small subunit ribosomal RNA", at positions 29 to 507 of the family's 1533-position model. The record is from RNAcentral.